RNAcentral lists this small RNA (297 nucleotides) under Vigna angularis var. angularis. RNAcentral describes it as "Non-protein coding transcript". Lineage: Eukaryota; Viridiplantae; Streptophyta; Magnoliopsida; Fabales; Fabaceae. The record is from RNAcentral.
UCUGCAGUAGAUAUUCAAUAUGUCACCUCUUCACAAUCACCACUACUACAUACCUGAACAAGUCACCAAAAUAAUUCUUGCAAUUUGGCACGUACCUGUUUGGGUAUCAGAGACAACUCCAGUUUCGUCUUCCAGCUUGUGCAGUUUGUUGUACUUCUUCUCGGCUGAGGCAUGUCUCUAGUUGUUUAAGAACAUUAAGAUCAAUGAAGUUAUCUAAUAAAUGUAGGGAAACAAGCAUCAAUUAUAAAUUAGUUCACCAGAGAACAAUCCUUAUAACAUAAAUGAAUAAUGAUAGAG